This 352-nucleotide ribosomal RNA is filed under the name Pelagodinium bei. Its description in RNAcentral is "eukaryotic LSU rRNA". It matches the Rfam family "Eukaryotic large subunit ribosomal RNA", at positions 444 to 810 of the family's 3401-position model. The record is from RNAcentral. Lineage: Eukaryota; Dinophyceae; Suessiales; Suessiaceae.
UGCGUGCUACUGUGAUGCCUGGCUGCUUCAACGCAAGUGUGGCAGUUAGAGUUGAUCAGCUGUGCGUGAUGUUUCUCAGCUUGUUAGUCAACCUUUGUUCGUGCUUGGGGAUAACUGCGGGUUCCAUGUUCUUCUCUGCGGAGUUGAGCUCGUGCCUGUAAGGACUCAGGUGUGUACAAUUGGUGACAAAAUGGUUCUCUUCGACCCGUCUUGAAACACGGACCAAGGAGUCUAGCACAUGUGCAAGUUCACAGGUGGCAAGCCUGCUUGCGCAAUGAAGGUGACUGCUGGGAUAUUUGCACCAGCAACCGACCAAUCAAUUGAGAGAAGUUUGAGUAUGAGCAUAUGUGUU